Molecule: non-coding RNA, 2022 nt
Organism: Globicephala melas (long-finned pilot whale)
Lineage: Eukaryota; Metazoa; Chordata; Mammalia; Artiodactyla; Delphinidae
Source: RefSeq, a predicted model, not a curated record
CUUAAAUCUUUAAAUACAACAUCUAUUUUGCCAGUAGUAAAAGGUGGUUGAAACGUCAAAUGCCACUCUGAAAAAUAGAUCAACAAAGAAGCUCCCAGUGAUGACAUUCUGCUUUCUGCUUCUUAUAAUACUUUAAUUCAUCUUUUUGAGGAGCAACUAAGCCCGUGCAUGACAACUACUGAGCCCACGCAUCACAACUACUGAAGCCCGCAUGCCUAGAGCCUGUGCUCUGCAGUAAGAGAAGCCACUGCAGUGAGAAGCCAGUGCGCUGCAACUAGAGAAAGCCCACGUGCAGCAAUGAAGACCCUUGAUAUAUAAAAAUCUAUUGCAUGUUUAUACACUAGCAAUGAACAAUCCAAUCUCAUUUACAGUAGCAACAAAAUAGAUAAGUAGAAAUAAAUUUAGCAAAACAAGCACCCAACUUGUACAGUGAAAAAUACAAAAUGUUCAAAGGUAUUAAAGAAGAUCUAAAAAAAUUGGAUGAUAUCUCAUAUUUAUGGGCCCAAACAUUUUAAAAUGACAAUACUCCCCAAAUUGAUCUAUAUAUUCAACAUAAUUCCUAUCGGUAUUCCAGCUUUUUUAAUCAUAAAUUGACAAUCUGAUCUUAAAAUCGAUAUGGAAAUAAGAUCCAAGACAAUCUUGAAAAAGAGGAAGAAGUUGGAAGGCUCACACUGCCCUAUUUUAAAAUUUACCACCAAGUUAGAGUAAUCAAGACAACAUGGUACUGACAUAAGGAUAGUGAUAUGGAUAGUGAUAUAGAUAAAUAGAACAGAAGUGAGAGCCCAGAAAUAAACUUUCACAUUUAUCAAUGAUUUUUCAGUCAGUGUGCCUAGACAAUUCAGUGAGGAAGGACUAAUCUUUUCAACAAACAGUGCUGUAACAACUGGAUAGCCACCUGUGAAAGAACUCAUUUGAACCUCUACCUCACACCAUAUACAGAAUUUGACUCAAAAUGAAUCACAUGUCUUCAUGGAAAAACUCAAACUAUAAAACUCCUAAAAGAAAAUAUGAAUACAUUUUCAUUACUUUAUAUUAUGCCAUGAUUGUUUAGCUGUGACACCAAAAGUACAAGCAAUAAAAGAAAAAAUACUAAAAUUGAAGUUCAUCAAAAUUUAAAACUUUUGUGCUCAAAGACUACCACCAAGAAGGUAAAAAGACAAUACACAGAAUGGGAUAAAAUAUUUUCAAAUCAUAUUUGAUAAGCAACAUAUCUAGAAUAUGUAAAAAAAUUUAUAAUUCAGCAAAAAGACAAAUAAUCCAAUUAAAAAAUUAUCAAGGGGUAUGAAUAGACAUUUCUCCAAAGAACAUAAACAAAUGGUCAGUAAAUACAUGAAAUGAUGCUCAAUAUUUUUAGUCAUUAGGGAAGUGCAAAUCAAAACUACACUGAGAUGUCAAUUGACACCCACUAGGAUGUUUAAAAUCAAAGACAGUAACAAGUGUUGGUGAAGAUGUUCAGAAUUUGGAUUCUUCAUCUAUUGAUGGUGGGAAUGUAAAAUGGUGCAGCCACUUUGUGAAAUAUUUUGGCAAUUCCUCAAUGUGUUAAGCAUGCAGUUACCCUAUAACCCAGCAAUUCCAUUCCUAGGUAUAUACCCAAGAGAAAUGAAAACAUAUGUUCCCUUGUACAUGAAUUUUCAUAGCAUUAUUCAUAAUAACCAAAACUGAAAAUAUCCUAAAUGUCCAUCACCUUGAUAAAUGAAUAAACAAAAUAUCUGUACAGUAUUCAGUAUAGGCAAAUCCAUAAAGACAAAGUGGGGCUGGUGCAAGUUCAGAAAGUGGCUGAGGAGGGAGUGGAGUGGGAAUAUGGAAUGACAGCUAAUAGGUACAGUGGUUUCCUAAUAGGUACAGUGGUUUCUUCUUGGGGGGAUGAAAAUGUUCUAAAAAUACAUUCAUUUGUGAAUAUAUCCCUCUUGUCUUCAGGCGUACGGACGGCAAAAGUUAGUUCAAGGGUACUGCACUAUGCUUUGUCAUUACCUUAUUAAAGCACCUCCAUAAAUAGACCUUUUGUAAAUAAAUACUCCUUAA